Molecule: ribosomal RNA, 457 nt
Filed under: uncultured Streptococcus sp.
Lineage: Bacteria; Bacillati; Bacillota; Bacilli; Lactobacillales; Streptococcaceae
Description: partial 16S ribosomal RNA
Rfam family: Bacterial small subunit ribosomal RNA
Source: RNAcentral
ACGGAAGGCAGCAGUAGGGAAUCUUCGGCAAUGGGGGCAACCCUGACCGAGCAACGCCGCGUGAGUGAAGAAGGUUUUCGGAUCGUAAAGCUCUGUUGUAAGAGAAGAACGUGUGUGAGAGUGGAAAGUUCACACAGUGACGGUAACUUACCAGAAAGGGACGGCUAACUACGUGCCAGCAGCCGCGGUAAUACGUAGGUCCCGAGCGUUGUCCGGAUUUAUUGGGCGUAAAGCGAGCGCAGGCGGUUUAAUAAGUCUGAAGUUAAAGGCAGUGGCUUAACCACUGUUCGCUUUGGAAACUGUUAGACUUGAGUGCAGAAGGGGAGAGUGGAAUUCCAUGUGUAGCGGUGAAAUGCGUAGAUAUGGAGGAACACCGGUGGCGAAAGCGGCUCUUUGGUCUGUAACUGGCGCUGAGGCUCGAAAGCGUGGGGAGCAAACAGGAUUAGAUACCCUGGUA